Molecule: ribosomal RNA, 443 nt
Filed under: uncultured bacterium
Lineage: Bacteria
Description: partial 16S ribosomal RNA
Rfam family: Bacterial small subunit ribosomal RNA
Source: RNAcentral
CCUACGGGCGGCAGCAGUGGGGAAUAUUGGGCAAUGGGCGCAAGCCUGACCCAGCAACGCCGCGUGAAGGAAGAAGGCUUUCGGGUUGUAAACUUCUUUUCUCAGGGACGAAGAAAGUGACGGUACCUGAGGAAUAAGCCACGGCUAACUACGUGCCAGCAGCCGCGGUAAUACGUAGGUGGCAAGCGUUAUCCGGAUUUACUGGGUUUAAAGGGCGUGUAGGCGGGAAAGCAAGUCAGAUGUGAAAACCAUGGGCUCAACCUGUGGCCUGCAUUUGAAACUGUUUUUCUUGAGUACUGGGGAGGCAGACGGAAUUCCUAGUGUAGCGGUGAAAUGCGUAGAUAUUAGGAGGAACACCAGUGGCGAAGGCGGUCUGCUGGACAGCAACUGACGCUGAGGCGCGAAAGCGUGGGGAGCAAACAGGAUUAGAUACCCUGGUAGUC